RNAcentral lists this ribosomal RNA (637 nucleotides) under Vibrio sp. Its description in RNAcentral is "bacterial SSU rRNA". It matches the Rfam family "Bacterial small subunit ribosomal RNA", at positions 378 to 1007 of the family's 1533-position model. Lineage: Bacteria; Pseudomonadati; Pseudomonadota; Gammaproteobacteria; Vibrionales; Vibrionaceae. The record is from RNAcentral.
CAAGCGUGAUGCAGCCAUGCCGCGUGUGUGAAGAAGGCCUUCGGGUUGUAAAGCACUUUCAGUCGUGAGGAAGGUGGUGUAGUUAAUAGCUGCAUUAUUUGACGUUAGCGACAGAAGAAGCACCGGCUAACUCCGUGCCAGCAGCCGCGGUAAUACGGAGGGUGCGAGCGUUAAUCGGAAUUACUGGGCGUAAAGCGCAUGCAGGUGGUUAGUUAAGUCAGAUGUGAAAGCCCGGGGCUCAACCUCGGAACUGCAUUUGAAACUGGCUGACUAGAGUACUGUAGAGGGGGGUAGAAUUUCAGGUGUAGCGGUGAAAUGCGUAGAGAUCUGAAGGAAUACCAGUGGCGAAGGCGGCCCCCUGGACAGAUACUGACACUCAGAUGCGAAAGCGUGGGGAGCAAACAGGAUUAGAUACCCUGGUAGUCCACGCCGUAAACGAUGUCUACUUGGAGGUUGUGGCCUUGAGCCGUGGCUUUCGGAGCUAACGCGUUAAGUAGACCGCCUGGGGAGUACGGUCGCAAGAUUAAAACUCAAAUGAAUUGACGGGGGCCCGCACAAGCGGUGGAGCAUGUGGUUUAAUUCGAUGCAACGCGAAGAACCUUACCUACUCUUGACAUCCAGAGAACUUAGCAGAGAU